Molecule: ribosomal RNA, 254 nt
Filed under: uncultured bacterium
Lineage: Bacteria
Description: partial 16S ribosomal RNA
Rfam family: Bacterial small subunit ribosomal RNA
Source: RNAcentral
UACGUAGGGUGCGAGCGUUGUCCGGAAUUAUUGGGCGUAAAGAGCUCGUAGGCGGUCUGUCGCGUCGAUCGUGAAAACUUGGGGCUUAACCCUGAGCUUGCGGUCGAUACGGGCAUGACUGGAGUUCGGCAGGGGAGACUGGAAUUCCUGGUGUAGCGGUGAAAUGCGCAGAUAUCGGGAGGAACACCAAUGGCGAAGGCAGCUCGCUGGGACGUUACUGACGCUGAGACGCGAAAGCGUGGGGAGCAAACAGG